RNAcentral lists this ribosomal RNA (253 nucleotides) under uncultured bacterium. Its description in RNAcentral is "partial 16S ribosomal RNA". It matches the Rfam family "Bacterial small subunit ribosomal RNA", at positions 524 to 776 of the family's 1533-position model. The record is from RNAcentral.
UACGAAGGGGGCUAGCGUUGCUCGGAAUCACUGGGCGUAAAGCGCACGUAGGCGGAUUGCUAAGUCAGGGGUGAAAUCCUGGAGCUCAACUCCAGAACUGCCUUUGAUACUGGCGGUCUCGAGUCCGGGAGAGGUGAGUGGAACUGCGAGUGUAGAGGUGAAAUUCGUAGAUAUUCGCAAGAACACCAGUGGCGAAGGCGGCUCACUGGCCCGAUACUGACGCUAAGGCACGAAAGCGUGGGGAGCAAACAGG